UCGUAUCGUUCGGAAAAUUCGAUCCCCGCGCUCAUGGUCAGAAGCGCGCGCAACGAUGUCUGACCGUAGGCGCUGCCUUUCAUCUCCGGCACAUAGUCCUGCGCCUUGUCCUCGAUGGAGCGGAUCUUGCCCUCCUUGAUGGCGAUCCCCACCAGCAUCGCCACCAUGGUCUUCACCAUCGAGUUGGACANNNNNGGCGGUCGGUGUCGCGGCGUCCGUAUUGAUAGCGUUCGAACAGGAUCGUCGAAUCCCUGAC
RNAcentral lists this unclassified non-coding RNA (256 nucleotides) under Hevea brasiliensis (rubber tree). The record is from RNAcentral. Lineage: Eukaryota; Viridiplantae; Streptophyta; Magnoliopsida; Malpighiales; Euphorbiaceae.